This 84-nucleotide transfer RNA is filed under the name Candidatus Woesearchaeota archaeon. RNAcentral's name for it is "tRNA-Leu". It matches the Rfam family "tRNA". From Rfam's summary of the family: Transfer RNA (tRNA) molecules are approximately 80 nucleotides in length. The record is from RNAcentral. Lineage: Archaea; Nanobdellati; Candidatus Woesearchaeota.
GCGGGGGUGCCGGAGUGGUCAAACGGGCUACGUUCAGGGCGUAGUAGCUUAGUGCUUACGAGGGUUCGAACCCCUUCCCCCGCA